Molecule: long non-coding RNA, 1076 nt
Organism: Suricata suricatta (meerkat)
Lineage: Eukaryota; Metazoa; Chordata; Mammalia; Carnivora; Herpestidae
Exons: 3
Source: RefSeq, a predicted model, not a curated record
GCCCCUGGAAAUGAUCCAGCUCCCUAGGCACCUUCCUGACUCUGGUUACUCAAAAUAUUGAUCAUGUGUGGACUGGGGGCAGAGCAGAGAAGAGAGACAGAGGAGUAGAACUGAAUGAAAUUCACCCAGAAUUCUCCCAUCAAAAUAUAUCUAUAUGUAAAUUAUUUUAGGUGUAGCAUUGAUGAGAAUCACUUUGGAGAAACAGAAGUUUCUUUGCAAUCCCACAGUGGUAUGGGGAAAGAGAACAAGGUCUUUACCAUCUUAGCUCAGCCUGAUCUGAGCAGGUGUGCUGUAGAGGGGCAGAGAGGCUGUGAGCUAGGCUGGGGAAGGGGACCCAGCUGUUCCCAAGUGCCCCUGUGAGUAUCGAGUCCGCCGGCUGAGAUGUGGGUCCAGCUCUGCACUUCCUCUCUGGCUGUGACAUCUUGGGGAGCUGCUUACCUUCUGGGGACUCUAGCUGGGGAUGAUGAUACCUUCCUGGCAAUUUGUGUUGACAACUAAGAAGAUGUAUCUGAGCGGUGUUUGGUGAACCCAAAACAACAGAACAUAGAAAAGUAGAAAAACUACUCUACUGAUCAUCCCCUGGGCUGUGUGGAGGGGCUUCCAUCAGAGCUGACUGGAGGGUGAGGUGGUUCUGGUCAAUGAAGCAAAAGAAAAGAGAAUUUAAUGGAGAAAGUAACCAGUUCCUGGAAUGCCUUCAUUCCUAAUAUCCUGAAGUUCUGCAUGUGACCACAGGUCUGUAACUGAUUCUGAAACUAGGCCAGGGAACACUUGCAGCUGAUAAAAGUGGGAAGACAACGAAGCUGUGGGGAGCACCUCCCUGUGCAGCCACUAAAUGAGGGUGUGGACUCCAGAGACUGCUGGCUUCAAGGCUCCACAGAAAUCAACAAUACUGCAAUUCAUAUUUUUUGCCUCUGAGAAACAAAAGGCAUUAACCAUAAAUGAGAAUUACUGACGUUUUCCAAAUCAUGGAAGACAAGUUCAAGGUUGCCUAGCCACCUGCCUUCUUAGAGCACAGACAUAAAUAGAAACUCCACAGUGUCACCUCCCUGAGAAGUAGUUAAUAAACCCUCCUUAUC